UACGUAGGGCGCAAGCGUUAUCCGGAAUUAUUGGGCGUAAAGAGCUCGUAGGCGGUUUGUCGCGUCUGCCGUGAAAGUCCGGGGCUUAACCCCGGAUCUGCGGUGGGUACGGGCAGACUAGAGUGCAGUAGGGGAGACUGGAAUUCCUGGUGUAGCGGUGAAAUGCGCAGAUAUCAGGAGGAACAACGAUGGCGAAGGCAGGUCUCUGGGCUGUAACUGACGCUGAGGAGCGAAAGCAUGGGGAGCGAACAGG
This 253-nucleotide ribosomal RNA is filed under the name uncultured bacterium. RNAcentral's name for it is "partial 16S ribosomal RNA". It matches the Rfam family "Bacterial small subunit ribosomal RNA", at positions 524 to 776 of the family's 1533-position model. The record is from RNAcentral.